Molecule: small nuclear RNA, 171 nt
Filed under: Lepisosteus oculatus (spotted gar)
Lineage: Eukaryota; Metazoa; Chordata; Actinopteri; Semionotiformes; Lepisosteidae
Description: U2 spliceosomal RNA (ENSLOCG00000019197.1)
Rfam family: U2 spliceosomal RNA (bases 1-112)
About the family: U2 is a small nuclear RNA (snRNA) component of the spliceosome (involved in pre-mRNA splicing). Complementary binding between U2 snRNA (in an area lying towards the 5' end but 3' to hairpin I) and the branchpoint sequence (BPS) of the intron results the bulging out of an unpaired adenosine, on the BPS, which initiates a nucleophilic attack at the intronic 5' splice site, thus starting the first of two transesterification reactions that mediate splicing.
Source: RNAcentral
AUCGCUUCUGGCGUAUGGCCUCAGAUCAAGUGUAGUUUCUGUUCUUAUCAUUUUAAUAUCUGAUAGGCCACCUAUGAGGAGGGUAUAUAUUAAAUUAUGGCCAGCAGCCAUAUCACUCUGCACAUCACAACUCAACUCAACAGAUUUAUUACACUUAAUAGAUUAGCGAAU